GCCUUAGGGUUUUAAACCCUAAACUGAAUUUUUUCCAUUUAGUCAGCAUUAGGGUUUUAAACCCUAAACUGAACUUUUUCCUUUAAUCAGCCUUAGGGUUUUUAAACCCUAAACUGAACUUUUUCCAUUCAGCCAGCAUUAGGGUUUUAAACCCUAAACUGAGCUUUUCCUUCCAGUCAGCAUUAGGGAUUUAAACCCUAAACUGAAUUUUUCCUUUAGUCAACAUUAGGGUUUUAAACCCUAAACUGAACUUUUUUCCAUUCAGCCAGCAUUAGGGUUUUAAAACCUUAAACUGAGCUUUUCCAUGCAAUCAGCAUUAGGGUUUUAAACCCUAAACUGAAUUUUCCUUUAGUCAGCAUUAGGGUUUUAAACCCUAAACUGAACUUUUUUUCCAUUCAGCCAGCAUUAGGGUUUUAAAACCUUAAACUGAGCUUUUCCAUGCAAUCAGCAUUAGGGUUUUAAACCCUGAACUGAACUUUUUCCUUUAAUCAGCCUUAGGGUUUUAAACCCUAAACUGAAUGUUUUUCCAUUCAGCCAGCAUUAGGGUUUUAAACCCUAAACUGAACUUUUCCUUUCAGUCAGCAUUAGGGUUUUAAACCCUAGACUGAACAUUUUCCUUUAAUCAACAUUAGGGUUUUAAACCCUAAACUGAAUUUUUCCUUUAGUCAGCAUUAAGGUUUUAAACCCUAAACUGAAUUUUUCCUUUGGUCAGCAUUAGGGUUUUAAACCCUAAACUGAACCUUUCCCCAGCUAGUCGAUAUUAGGGCUGCAACCCUGAACUGAGCAUGCAUAUCCUCUUUCAUCAAUUUUAUGAACUUCCUGGCGAAUAAUUCACGAAA
RNAcentral lists this long non-coding RNA (839 nucleotides) under Nicotiana tabacum (common tobacco). Its description in RNAcentral is "long non-coding RNA (NTAB_LNC001209)". Lineage: Eukaryota; Viridiplantae; Streptophyta; Magnoliopsida; Solanales; Solanaceae. The record is from RNAcentral.